This 253-nucleotide ribosomal RNA is filed under the name uncultured bacterium. RNAcentral describes it as "partial 16S ribosomal RNA". It matches the Rfam family "Bacterial small subunit ribosomal RNA", at positions 524 to 776 of the family's 1533-position model. The record is from RNAcentral.
UACAGAGGGUGCGAGCGUUAAUCGGAAUUACUGGGCGUAAAGCGCGCGUAGGCGGCUUUGCAAGUCGGAUGUGAAAUCCCCAGGCUUAACCUGGGAACUGCACCCGAGACUGCAUCGCUAGAGUAUGGGAGAGGGAAGUGGAAUUUCAGGUGUAGCGGUGAAAUGCGUAGAUAUCUGAAGGAACAUCAGUGGCGAAAGCGACUUCCUGGGCCAAUACUGGCGCUCAUGUGCGAAAGCGUGGGGAGCAAACAGG